Molecule: ribosomal RNA, 113 nt
Rfam family: Bacterial small subunit ribosomal RNA
Source: Rfam
AGCCCGUGGCCCAACCCACUUGUGGGGGGGAGCGGUCGAAGGUGGGGCUGGCGAUUGGGACGAAGUCGUAACAAGGUAGCCGUACCGGAAGGUGCGGCUGGAUCACCUCCUUU